RNAcentral lists this ribosomal RNA (363 nucleotides) under uncultured Coriobacteriales bacterium. RNAcentral describes it as "bacterial SSU rRNA". It matches the Rfam family "Bacterial small subunit ribosomal RNA", at positions 1 to 339 of the family's 1533-position model. Lineage: Bacteria; Bacillati; Actinomycetota; Coriobacteriia; Coriobacteriales. The record is from RNAcentral.
AGUAGUUUGAUCAUGGCUCGAGGACGAACGCUGGCGGCGUGCCUAACACAUGCAAGUCGAGCGGAGACAUAUAGCGGACAGGAAGUUUUCGGAUGGAAUGGAAGGUAUAUGUUUUAGCGGCGGACGGGUGAGUAACGCGUGAGCAACCUGUCCUUCACGAGGGGGAUAACACAGCGAAAGUUGUACUAAUACCGCAUAAGACCACAGUACCGCAUGGUACAGGGGUCAAAGGAGCAAUCCGGUGAAGGGUGGGCUCGCGUCCGAUUAGAUAGUAGGUGAGGUAACGGCCCACCUAGUCGACGAUCGGUAGCCGACCUGAGAGGGUGAUCGGCCACAUUGGGACUGAGACACGGCCCAAACUCC